Numida meleagris (helmeted guineafowl) is the source of this 1206-nucleotide long non-coding RNA. RefSeq lists it as uncharacterized. The record is from RefSeq and is a predicted model, not a curated record. The transcript is spliced from 3 exons. NCBI's taxonomy places the organism in Eukaryota, Metazoa, Chordata, Aves, Galliformes, Numididae.
UGUAAGUUGUAUAAAGAAGACUAACAUGUGCAAUGGAAUGUGCAAAAAUUCUUUUUCUUUUUUUGGCCACUACUCAGCAGCGCCAGUUUGGGGCAGAGCAUGAUCCAGCAGGGACAGACCUGGCCCAGGAGUUACAACACUGACUUUUUUCCUUCCUUACUACAAGUUGUUCCAUCUUUUUAUCCUGCUUGUAAAAUGAGAGCAGUGGUAUUUAUUUGCUGUUGUAAACAAUGCAUCAAAACUUGUAUAUCAGUCUAUCCUAAAUAAUGACUGAAGAUAUCUGCUUCUAAACUCCUAUGGGUUUCCUUUGGAACAAUUCGUCUGCAUUUGUGGCUGCUCAUAUGUUCGUAUCCAAUGCACUUUCCUACAGGAAGUGGAAAAAAAAUGGUUGUCACGAGUCUAUACAACCAUACUAAAUUAGAUUCACUCCAUAAACACGACAAGAAUGUCCUUUAUGGAAGCCUACUAUCCCACAGAAGAGUGGGCUGUGUGGAAACGGAGGCAGAUGAUCUUACACGUGCCUUCUCUUAGCACUUGCUGCCACAUGAGGAGUUAAUAUUUGAUUAGACAGUACUGUAGCUAUGACACCUGUUCACCAGGGAGACUAGGCCAACAACUGAUGUAAUCUACCUUAUUAUACACUUAAUGAUAGAGGAGAAGUGCUGCUUUUUCAGCUUCCCACGUCUGCUUUUCAUUUCCUCUCCUACACAUUCCUGAGGGGUCAUGUUCUGUGCCUCGCAAAAGCAAACAAACAACUACAAAACCUCUCCCCCUCUCUCUGUGAUCCUCUGCAAUUUGCUUGGAAGAAAAGAAGUUAAAAAUUUCCACUGUACUGUGUGUUCCUGAAAAGAAGUCUACUUAUUUGCAGUUAUUAAUUUACAUGUGUUGGCUAGAUUUCUCUGACCACAACAGACCAGGAAAAGACAGUGUUGGUACUAAAGUUACUUAGAAGAGCUCUGAUUUUUCCUAUCAGCAAAUCAAGCACCUGGCCACAGAUCCCAGAUCCUAACACAAAUGCCAUUUCAGACUCCCAGGCUUUGACCAUCUUUCAGUUUUCUGAAAAGGUUUCUCCCCUCCCAAAUGAGAGAGUUCACCAUCUUUCCCUGAAGAAAUGUUUAUCUCGGAGCAGAGGAGGAGAGCUGCAGCUUCUUUUUAUUGUUACUGGUACUCCACAUCAUAACAUCAUGUAGUGAACGUACCUGGUCC